GACCAGACUCCUACGGGAGGCAGCAGUGGGGAAUAUUGCACAAUGGGGGAAACCCUGAUGCAGCGACGCCGCGUGAGCGAUGAAGUAUUUCGGUAUGUAAAGCUCUACCAGCAGGGAAGAAGAUGACGGUACCUGACUAAGAAGCCCCGGCUAACUACGUGCCAGCAGCCGCGGUAAUACGUAGGGGGCAAGCGUUAUCCGGAUUUACUGGGUGUAAAGGGAGCGUAGACGGCGAUGCAAGCCAGAUGUGAAAGCCCGGGGCUCAACCCCGGGACUGCAUUUGGAACUGUGUGGCUGGAGUGUCGGAGAGGGAGGCGGAAUUCCUAGUGUAGCGGUGAAAUGCGUAGAUAUUAGGAGGAACACCAGUGGCGAAGGCGGCCUGCUGGACGAUGACUGACGUUGAGGCCCGAAAGCGUGGGGAGCAAACAGGAUUAGAUACCCGGGUAA
RNAcentral lists this ribosomal RNA (447 nucleotides) under uncultured bacterium. Its description in RNAcentral is "bacterial SSU rRNA". It matches the Rfam family "Bacterial small subunit ribosomal RNA", at positions 329 to 793 of the family's 1533-position model. The record is from RNAcentral.